GGGCUCGUGGCUCAGUUUGGAUAUUUUGGAAAAAUGUGUUUUUUCAGGACCAAAAAGAGCGACUGGCUUCGGACCAGUAGGUCGGGGGUUCAAAUUCAAGGGGACUCCCUUGAGGCGUGCAUGGCGUUCAGCCAAUGUUCAUUUCCCUCCGGGCUCA
This 157-nucleotide transfer RNA is filed under the name archaeon. Its description in RNAcentral is "tRNA-Arg". The record is from RNAcentral.